UUGUCUCAAAGAUUAAGCCAUGCAUGUCUAAGUACAUACUAUAAUAAAGUAAAACCGCGAAAGGCUCAUUAAAUCAGUUAUGGUUCAUUAGAUCGUACCACUAUAAGUUUACUUGGAUAACUGUGGUAAUUCUAGAGCUAAUACAUGCAAACAGAAUUCUGACCGGAGACGGGAGGAAUGCUUUUAUUAGAUCAAAACUAAUCGAUGUCGGAAUUUUUUUUCCGUUUAUCGUAAAUUUUUUAUGUGUUGAAUCUGAAUAACUUUUGCUGAUCGCAUGGUCUUGUACCGGCGACGCAUCUUUCAAAUGUCUGCCUUAUCAACUGUCGAUGGUAGGAUCUGCGCCUACCAUGGUUGUAACGG
RNAcentral lists this ribosomal RNA (360 nucleotides) under Pasimachus californicus. RNAcentral describes it as "SSU rRNA". It matches the Rfam family "Eukaryotic small subunit ribosomal RNA", at positions 32 to 358 of the family's 1831-position model. Lineage: Eukaryota; Metazoa; Arthropoda; Insecta; Coleoptera; Carabidae. The record is from RNAcentral.